GUGUAGCUCAGUGGUAGAGCGCUUGCCUUGUAUGCUUGAGGCUCUGGGUCCAAUUCCCAACAC
This 63-nucleotide transfer RNA is filed under the name Heterocephalus glaber (naked mole-rat). It matches the Rfam family "tRNA", at positions 5 to 66 of the family's 71-position model. From Rfam's summary of the family: Transfer RNA (tRNA) molecules are approximately 80 nucleotides in length. Their secondary structure includes four short double-helical elements and three loops (D, anti-codon, and T loops). Lineage: Eukaryota; Metazoa; Chordata; Mammalia; Rodentia; Bathyergidae. The record is from Rfam by way of RNAcentral.